CGCUGGCGGCGUGCCUAACACAUGCAAGUCGGACGGGUCCCGGGUAGCAAUAUCUGGGACUAGUGGCGAACGGGUGAGUAACACGUGGGUAACCUGCCCUCGAGUGGGGAAUAAGCUCCCGAAAGGGGGUCUAAUACCGCAUAACGUUUCCUGACGAUGGUCUGGAAACCAAAGCCCAAAAGGCGCUCGAGGAGGGGCCUGCGGCCUAUCAGCUAGUUGGUAGGGUAAUGGCCUACCAAGGCUACGACGGGUAGCCGGCCUGAGAGGGUGUCCGGCCACACUGGGACUGAGACACGGCCCAGA
RNAcentral lists this ribosomal RNA (303 nucleotides) under uncultured bacterium. Its description in RNAcentral is "bacterial SSU rRNA". It matches the Rfam family "Bacterial small subunit ribosomal RNA", at positions 34 to 335 of the family's 1533-position model. The record is from RNAcentral.